RNAcentral lists this ribosomal RNA (253 nucleotides) under uncultured bacterium. Its description in RNAcentral is "partial 16S ribosomal RNA". It matches the Rfam family "Bacterial small subunit ribosomal RNA", at positions 524 to 776 of the family's 1533-position model. The record is from RNAcentral.
UACGUAGGCAGCGAGCGUUGUUCGGAGUUACUGGGCGUAAAGGGUGUGUAGGCGGUUCUUUAAGUUUGGUGUGAAAUCUCCCGGCUCAACCGGGAGGGUGCGGUGAAUACUGAGGGACUAGAGUACGGGAGAGGAAAGUGGAAUUCCUGGUGUAGCGGUGAAAUGCGUAGAUAUCAGGAGGAACACCGGUGGUGUAGACGGCUUUCUGGACCGUAACUGACGCUGAGACACGAAAGCGUGGGUAGCAAACAGG